UACGGAGGGUGCGAGCGUUGUUCGGAAUCACUGGGCGUAAAGCGCGUGUAGGCGGCCCACUAAGUCUGAUGUGAACGCCCGGGGCUCACCCCCGGAAGUGCAUUGGAAACUGGUGGACUCGAGUCCCGGAGAGGAGAGUGGAAUUCCUGGUGUAGCGGUGAAAUGCGUAGAUAUCAGGAGGAACACCGGUGGCGAAGGCGGCUCUCUGGACGGCGACUGACGCUGAGACGCGAAAGCGUGGGGAGCAAACAGG
RNAcentral lists this ribosomal RNA (253 nucleotides) under uncultured bacterium. RNAcentral's name for it is "partial 16S ribosomal RNA". It matches the Rfam family "Bacterial small subunit ribosomal RNA", at positions 524 to 776 of the family's 1533-position model. The record is from RNAcentral.